RNAcentral lists this unclassified non-coding RNA (323 nucleotides) under plant metagenome. RNAcentral's name for it is "partial contains 5.8S ribosomal RNA, internal transcribed spacer 2, and large subunit ribosomal RNA". The stretch from base 1 to 105 matches the Rfam family "5.8S ribosomal RNA", at positions 50 to 154 of the family's 154-position model. The record is from RNAcentral.
GAAAUGCGAUAAGUAAUGUGAAUUGCAGAAUUCCGUGAAUCAUCGAAUCUUUGAACGCACAUUGCGCCCUCUGGUAUUCCGGGGGGCAUGCCUGUCCGAGCGUCAUUGCUCACCCUCAAGCGCGGCUUGUGUGUUGGGCCCCCGCGUCCUUGCCAUUUAAAGGACGGGCCCGAAAGGCAGUGGCGGCGUCGCGGUUAUCCGAUCAGCCAGAGCGUAUGGGGACUCUGUUCACACGUUCGGGGGCGGACCGACGCCAGUCCGGUUAACAAUCUUUCUUCCAAGGUUGACCUCGGAUCAGGUAGGGAUACCCGCUGAACUUAAGC